CUGGUCUCGGACCUCAAGUGAUCCUCCCACCUCAGCCUCCCAACGUGUUGGGAUUACAGGUGUGAGCCACCAUGUCUGGGCUGAUGUCCAUUUUUUUUACAUAGGGAUGUCAGUUAUUUCAGUAUCAUUUGUUGAAAACAUUAUCCUUUUUCCAUUAAAUUGCUCUUGUACCUUUGUUGAAAAAUGCACUGGUCAUAUAGAAUCUUAUCUUUGCAUGAGUCUAUUUCUAAACUCUAUUCUGUUCCAUCAAUCGAUGUGUCUUUCCCUUCACUAAUACUACAUUGCCCUGAUUACAGUGGCUUCAUUGUAAGUCUUAUAUUCGGGUAACAUGCUUUUUCCAAUUUUAUUGUUUUUUCCAGAAUCAUCUUAGCUAUUUUAGUUUCCUUCCCUUUUCAUAUAAGUUUUAGAACUUGCUUGGUUACAUCUACAAAAAAAAAAAAAGUCCUGCUAAGAUUUUAACUGGUAUUGUGUUAACUGUAUUGAUCAUUUGGAGGGAAUGAUAUGUUUAUUGUGUUGACUCUUCCCAUUCAUGAACAUGGUAUUGCUCUCCACUUAUUUAGGCUUUAUUUCUUUCAUCAGCAUUUUGUAGUUUUCAGCAUACAGAUCCUAUAUAUCCUUUAUUAGAUUUAUACCUAAAUAUUUUAUUUUUAUGAGCUGUUGUAUUUUUAUUUCAGUUUUCAGCUGUGCAUUGCUAAUAUGUAACAAUAUUAUUGAUUUUUAUAUGUUGGCUUUAUAUCCUGAUAUCCUUGCUAAACUCAUUUAUUUGUCCUAGGAAGACUUUUUAAAAAAUUUUGUUUUAUAGAUUCCUUGGGAUUUUCUACUUAGAAAAGCAUGUAAUCUGCAAAUAAGGACAGUUUCAUGUCUUUCUUCCCUAUCCAUAUGCCUUUUAUGUCUUUUUUCUUGCCUUAUUGAAUUGGCUAAGACUUCCCAUUAAGAUGUCAAAUAAAAACAAUGACAGUGGAUAUCCUUUCCUUGCUCAAGUGGGAAAAGCAUUCACUCUUUUACUACUAAUUUUAUGUUAGCUGUGGAUGUUUUUGUAGAUGCCCUCAAUUAGGUUCCAGAAGUUCCUUCUCUUUAGUUUGCUGUGAGUUUUUAUUAAGAAUGGAUGCUGAGCCAGGAGCGGUGCAUUGUGCCUAUAGUCUUAGCUACUCAGGAGGCUGACGCAGGAGGAUCACUUGAGCCUGAGCAUUCAAGAAUCCUGUCUCUUAAAAAAAAAAAAAAAGAAAUUGGAUGCUCAAUGUUGUCAAAUAUUUUUUUCUACCUCAAUUGAUGUGGUUGUAUGGUUGGUUUUUCUUCUUUAGACUGUUAAUAUGAUAUUUUACACUGAUUGAUUUUCAAAUUUGAACCAGUCUUCAUUUCCAGGAUAAAUUCCACUUAAUUGUGAUAUGUUAUUCUUUUUAUAUAUUGUGGAUUUUAAUUUGCUAAUACAGUUGACCCUUGAACAACAUCGGCUUUGAACUGCAUGAGUCCACUUAUAUGUGGAUUUUUUCAAUAAAUACAUUGGAAAAGGUUUUGGAGAUUUGCAACAUUUUGAAAAAACUCACUGCAUAGCCUAGAAAUAUACAAAGAGCAAGAAAAAGUUAGGUAUGUCAUGAAUGCAUAAAAUACAUAGAUAGUGGCCUGUUUUAUCAUUUACUACAUAAAAUAUACACAGACAUAAAAUCUAUUAUAAAAAGUUAAAAUUUAUCAAAACUUAUGCACAUAAACACAUACCACACAUGGUGCCAUUCACAAUCGAGACAAACAUAAAGAUGCAGUAUUAAAUCAAAACUCUAUAAAAUUAACUGUAGUACAUAUUGCAUGACUGUAAUAAUUUAAUAGCUACCUCCUGUUGCUAUUGCAGUGAACUUAAAUGUUGUAAGUAUCCACUGAAAGUACCAUGUGAUGUGAUGUUAAACUCUGUGAGCAGUUUGUCUCUCCAGUAAAUUGCAUAUGAAGCAAGACAACUUCUCUUCUUCUACCUCCUUCUCAGCCUACUCAACAUGAAGAUAAUGAGGAUGAAGACCUUUAUGAUGAUCUACUUUCACUUAAUGAACAGUAAUUAUAUGUUAUCUUCCUUAUAAGAAAUAACAUUCUCCUUUCUCUAACUUUAUUGUUAGAAUACAGUAUAUUAAUACAUAUAACAUAUUAAAUAUGUGCUAUUUAUGUUCCAUAAGGCUUUUGGUCAACAGUAGGCUAUUAGUAGUUAAGUUUGGGGGAGUCAAAAGUUAUGGAUAGAUUUUCUACUGUGGAGGGGUGGUUGGCAUUUGUAAGCUCUAUAUUAUUUAAGUGUCAUGUGUACAUUGUUGAGCAUUUUUGUGACAUCAUAUUAAAGGAUGUUGGUCUGUAGUUUUCUUACCUGGAAAUGUCUUUGUCUUGUUUGGGUAUCAGAGUAAUUCUGGCUUCAUAAAAUGAGCUGGGAAUGCUUUCUCAUUUUCUGGAAAAUAUUGUAAAAUUGGUGUUAUUUCUUUAAAUAUUUGCUCGAAUUUCUCAUCAGAAACAUCUGGGCAUGGAGAUUUAUUUUGGAAGAGAUUUUUUAAAAAUACAAAUUCCAUUUCUUCAGCUACAGGAUAUUCAGUUUACCUAUUCUUGGUUGAAUUUUGGUAGUUUGUGGCUUUUGAGGAUUUGGUCCAUUUUAUCUAAGUUGUCAAAUUUAUGUGCAUAGAAUUUUAAUUGUCAAUGAAGUCUUUAGUGAUAUCCCUUUUUCAUUUCUGAUAUUAAUAAAAUGUGUCUUCUUUGUCAGUCUUGCUA
Long non-coding RNA from Sapajus apella (tufted capuchin), 2730 nucleotides. RefSeq lists it as uncharacterized. The record is from RefSeq and is a predicted model, not a curated record. The transcript has 2 exons. Lineage: Eukaryota; Metazoa; Chordata; Mammalia; Primates; Cebidae.